Molecule: ribosomal RNA, 253 nt
Filed under: uncultured bacterium
Lineage: Bacteria
Description: partial 16S ribosomal RNA
Rfam family: Bacterial small subunit ribosomal RNA
Source: RNAcentral
UACGUAGGGGGCAAGCGUUGUCCGGAAUCAUUGGGCGUAAAGCGCGUGUAGGCGGUUCGGUAAGUCGGCUGUGAAAGUCCAGGGCUCAACCCUGGGAUGCCGGUCGAUACUGCCGGACUAGAGCUCGGAAGAGGCGAGUGGAAUUCCCGGUGUAGCGGUGAAAUGCGCAGAUAUCGGGAGGAACACCAAUGGCGAAGGCAGCUCGCUGGGACGUUACUGACGCUGAGACGCGAAAGCGUGGGGAGCAAACAGG